This 1263-nucleotide long non-coding RNA is filed under the name Meleagris gallopavo (turkey). RNAcentral's name for it is "lncRNA (ENSMGAG00000019735.1)". Lineage: Eukaryota; Metazoa; Chordata; Aves; Galliformes; Phasianidae. The record is from RNAcentral.
AUUUGGUGAAGGUAGGGUGGCGUUCUGCCUCACAAACUUUAAACCCUCUGAGUUUGCAUGUUUCUGCCAAUGUGAUGUUUAACUUGGGGGUUAGUAUGGAUCCCUUAAGGAAUUCCCUAAAAGGCAACCUUAAUUAAUGCUACCAGCUGUAUGGAAAUGUACCUGCCCCUGGCAGUGUAGGGGAAUGAUGCUGAAUGGUGACAACGCUGUCCUUGUCCUCCUGAGCAUAAUAAAUCUUGAUCUUUCCUAUUUCAGCACACGGAGGUGCUGAGCCUGUCUCGUGAUGUAGCCACAUUGCAAUGCAUUUGCUUGCUCACAUGAGUUAUAUCUGUUCCAAUCACUGUCUCAGUAAUCGUCUCAUAGGAAAAGGCAGGAAAAAAGUCCAUUUGCUGAUCACCACCUCGAUGGCUGUCAGAGGUGCCCUGAUUUUUAGAAAGCUGUGCAGAAAGUAACUGAGCCGUUACUUUUGCAGUUGGAAUUACACAGAAAUGAAGGCAGCUGAACUCUGCUGCAGGAGCAGCCCUGCACACCAUCAGCAAACACCAUCAGCUGGUCGCACGUGGCCCUGGGUUUCUGUGGGAUCUGCUGUUUCCAAAGCAUCUCCAGGUUUCCUUUACAUUUCGUCAGCCGUGGUUACUGGAUCCUUCGCCACACGGUGCUGGGCCACGUGAAGGAGCAACUCUAAGGAAAAUGCAACUGCUCUCUGCAUCAUCCUGCUGUAGGAAUGGCACAAGGAACACAUGUAGGCUUUAGGCUUAAGCUCUUCGUCGAGUAGUUAUGUCAAAAGUGGAGAAAGCACAAAAGAAACUUUCCAAAACAAGAGAGGGAAUUAGAAAGGUGUCUCACAGUGAUUUUGUUCUCUUCUUGAAAGCUGUGGAAUCAUCAACUUCAAAAUGAAUCAAGAUUGCUUUUAAUGCAGAGGUCUUUCAGCAAGACUUCAGGUCUGGCAUGACAUGCUCAACGCUGCUCUCCAGGGGAGAUAUCACAACCUCCUGUGGUCCAUCCUGGUAAGGAGCUCACAAAGAUUAAGGAAGGGAGAUGCUUCUUUGUAGAUGGACUUGUGCUGCGUGAGCUAAAUCGGUUAAUAGAUGCUAUGAUAAUUUAUUACAAGCUGUUUGUUUGUUUUUUCCCAUAUGCACAAUAGUAUAUUGUAAAGCAAUUGGUCAUAUCAGAUGAAGUUAUAACAUGACAAGAUGGAUCAUUUAAUAUAUCAAAUGAUACUGCUAUGUGUACUGUUGUAUCCAAAAUAUAUAUUAAAGAAAG